CCUACGGGGCGCAGCAGUAGGGAAUAUUGCUCAAUGGGGGAAACCCUGAAGCAGCAACGCCGCGUGGAGGAUGAAGGUUUUCGGAUUGUAAACUCCUUUUGUUAGAGAAGAUAAUGACGGUAUCUAACGAAUAAGCACCGGCUAACUCCGUGCCAGCAGCCGCGGUAAUACGGAGGGUGCAAGCGUUACUCGGAAUCACUGGGCGUAAAGAGCGCGUAGGCGGGAUAGCAAGUCAGAUGUGAAAUCCUAUGGCUUAACCAUAGAACUGCAUUUGAAACUGCAGGACUUGAGUGGAGUAGAGGUAG
RNAcentral lists this ribosomal RNA (305 nucleotides) under uncultured bacterium. Its description in RNAcentral is "bacterial SSU rRNA". It matches the Rfam family "Bacterial small subunit ribosomal RNA", at positions 338 to 660 of the family's 1533-position model. The record is from RNAcentral.